Molecule: ribosomal RNA, 274 nt
Filed under: uncultured bacterium
Lineage: Bacteria
Description: partial 16S ribosomal RNA
Rfam family: Bacterial small subunit ribosomal RNA
Source: RNAcentral
AUACGGAGGGUGCAAGCGUUAUCCGGAAUCAUUGGGUUUAAAGGGUCCGCAGGCGGAUUAAUAAGUCAGUGGUGAGAUCCUCUCGCUCAACGAGAGAACUGCCAUUGAAACUGUUAGUCUUGAAUUCGGUCGAAGUAGGCGGAAUGUGUCAUGUAGCGGUGAAAUGCAUAGAUAUGACACAGAACACCGAUAGCGAAGGCAGCUUACUAGACCUGGAUUGACGCUCAUGGACGAAAGCGUGGGGAGCGAACAGGAUUAGAAACCCCAGUAGUCC